Molecule: transfer RNA, 73 nt
Filed under: Phytophthora fallax
Lineage: Eukaryota; Oomycota; Peronosporomycetes; Peronosporales; Peronosporaceae
Description: tRNA-Val
Rfam family: tRNA
About the family: Transfer RNA (tRNA) molecules are approximately 80 nucleotides in length.
Source: RNAcentral
GAAUAAUUAACUCAAUUGGUAGAGUAUUUCGUUUACACCGAAAACGUUAGCGGUUCGAGUCCGUUAUUAUUCA